AUACGUAGGGGGCAAGCGUUAUCCGGAUUUACUGGGUGUAAAGGGAGCGUAGACGGAAGGCCAAGUCUGAUGUGAAAGCCCGCGGCUCAACUGCGGGACUGCAUUGGAAACUGGUCAUCUGGAGUGCAGGAGGGGUAAGCGGAAUUCCUAGUGUAGCGGUGAAAUGCGUAGAUAUUAGGAGGAACACCGGUGGCGAAGGCGGCUUACUGGACUGUAACUGACGUUGAGGCUCGAAAGCGUGGGUAUCGAACAGGAUUAGAUACCCUGGUAGUCCGCACAGUAAACGAUGACAACUGGCUGUUGGCGAUACACCGAUCAGUAGCGAAGCGAAAGCGUUAAGUUGUCCACCUGGGGAGUACGACCGCAAGGUUGAAACUCAAAGGAAUUGACGGGG
RNAcentral lists this ribosomal RNA (394 nucleotides) under uncultured bacterium. RNAcentral describes it as "partial 16S ribosomal RNA". It matches the Rfam family "Bacterial small subunit ribosomal RNA", at positions 523 to 918 of the family's 1533-position model. The record is from RNAcentral.